Prevotella micans F0438 is the source of this 393-nucleotide non-coding RNA. It matches the Rfam family "Bacterial RNase P class A". Rfam says of the family: Ribonuclease P (RNase P) is a ubiquitous endoribonuclease, found in archaea, bacteria and eukarya as well as chloroplasts and mitochondria. Its best characterised activity is the generation of mature 5'-ends of tRNAs by cleaving the 5'-leader elements of precursor-tRNAs. The record is from Rfam. Lineage: Bacteria; Pseudomonadati; Bacteroidota; Bacteroidia; Bacteroidales; Prevotellaceae.
GCAGUGUUCCGGCUCUGUCGUUGAUGAUUAGAUUUUUGUUAUCAAUAUUAUUUUCAUCAAAGGAAAGUCCGGGCAGCAUAGGGUAUCCUGCUUCCGAAAGGGAAGCUAUUGGCGACAAUAGAUGUAGGCAGAAGAAAAGAACCGCUGCUGAAAGGCAGUAAGGAUGAGAAGGCGGUGUAAGAGACCACCGGCAAACGGGCGAUCGUUUGGCCGUGCCAGUCAGGAGCUGUAAGUUCAUGUAAACCGUUGUUUGAAGGCGACCCGCCUGAGCACUGUCACAACGGAGGGUAGAAUGCUAUUGACCAUCUAGGGCAACCUGGUGGCUAGAUAAAUGACAGGCAUCUUCCUCGUAAGAGAAAGAAACAGAACCCGGCUUAUAGGAACACUGCUCUU